RNAcentral lists this ribosomal RNA (395 nucleotides) under uncultured Archaeospora. Its description in RNAcentral is "eukaryotic LSU rRNA". It matches the Rfam family "Eukaryotic large subunit ribosomal RNA", at positions 316 to 627 of the family's 3401-position model. The record is from RNAcentral. Lineage: Eukaryota; Fungi; Glomeromycota; Glomeromycetes; Archaeosporales; Archaeosporaceae.
CUAAAUAUAGGCGAGAGACCGAUAGCGAACAAGUACCGUGAGGGAAAGAUGAAAAGAACUUUGAAAAGAGAGUUAAAUAGUACGUGAAAUUGUUGAUAGGGAAACGAUUGAAGUCAGUCAUGCCGGUGAGAAAUCAGCUUACAGGCUACUGUGAGUGCACUUUUUCGCAAGGCAGGUUAACAUCGGUUUUUGUUGCGUCAUAAUGAUUGUAGGAAGGUGGCUCCUUAGGGAGUGUUAUAGCCUACUUUAGAUGGCGCGACGAGGAUUGAGGAUUGCAGCGAAUGCCUUUGGCUACGGAUCUUUUCUCUGUCGAUCUUCAAUUGAUCGUCAGCUUGCUGACGAGCGGUUGAUGGGUUUACAAUAGGAUGGAAUCCGAUAAAUUCGUUAAGGAUGUA